Salmo salar (Atlantic salmon) is the source of this 54-nucleotide non-coding RNA. Lineage: Eukaryota; Metazoa; Chordata; Actinopteri; Salmoniformes; Salmonidae. The record is from Rfam.
UUCAUUCACUACUGUAAGUCACUCUGGAUAAGAGCGUCUGCUAAAUGACUAAAA